GAUGAACGCUGGCGGCGUGCCUAAUACAUGCAAGUCGAGCGAACAGACGAGGAGCUUGCUCCUCUGACGUUAGCGGUGGACGGGUGAGUAACACGUGGAUAACCUACCUAUAAGACUGGGAUAACUUCGGGAAACCGGAGCUAAUACCGGAUAAUAUAUUGAACCGCAUGGUUCAAUAGUGAAAGACGGUUUUGCUGUCACUUAUAGAUGGAUCCGCGCCGCAUUAGCUAGUUGGUAAGGUAACGGCUUACCAAGGCAACGAUGCGUAGCCGACCUGAGAGGGUGAUCGGCCACACUGGAACUGAGACACGGUCCAGACUCCUACGGGAGGCAGCAGUAGGGAAUCUUCCGAAAUGGGCGAAAGCCUGACGGAGCAACGCCGCGUGAGUGAUGAAGGUCUUCGGAUCGUAAAACUCUGUUAUUAGGGAAGAACAAAUGUGUAAGUAACUAUGCACGUCUUGACGGUACCUAAUCAGAAAGCCACGGCUAACUACGUG
This 497-nucleotide ribosomal RNA is filed under the name uncultured bacterium. Its description in RNAcentral is "partial 16S ribosomal RNA". It matches the Rfam family "Bacterial small subunit ribosomal RNA", at positions 28 to 507 of the family's 1533-position model. The record is from RNAcentral.